UACAGAGGAUGCAAGCGUUAUCCGGAAUGAUUGGGCGUAAAGCGUCCGCAGGUGGCAGUUCAAGUCUGCUGUCAAAGACCGGGGCUUAACUUCGGAAAGGCAGUGGAAACUGAACAGCUAGAGUAUGGUAGGGGCAGAGGGAAUUCCUGGUGUAGCGGUGAAAUGCGUAGAGAUCAGGAAGAACAUCGGUGGCGAAGGCGCUCUGCUGGACCAUAACUGACACUCAGGGACGAAAGCUAGGGGAGCGAAUGGG
Molecule: ribosomal RNA, 253 nt
Filed under: uncultured bacterium
Lineage: Bacteria
Description: partial 16S ribosomal RNA
Rfam family: Bacterial small subunit ribosomal RNA
Source: RNAcentral